GUGAGGAAUAUUGGUCAAUGGGCGAAAGCCUGAACCAGCCAUGUCGCGUGAAGGAUGAAGGUCCUAUGGAUUGUAAACUUCUUUUGCAGGAGGGUAAAGUGAGCUACGUGUAGUUCAUUGCAAGUACCCUGCGAAUAAGCAUCGGCUAACUCCGUGCCAGCAGCCGCGGUAAUACGGAGGAUGCGAGCGUUAUCCGGAUGUAUUGGGUUUAAAGGGUGCGUAGGCGGACUAAUUAGUCAGCGGUGAAAUUUUGCGGCUCAACCGUAAAACUGCCGUUGAAACUGUUAGUCUUGAGUGCGGUAGAGGUAGGCGGAAUGUGUGGUGUAGCGGUGAAAUGCUUAGAUAUCACACAGAACACCGAUUGCGUAGGCAGCUUACUGGAGCGCAACUGACGCUGAGGCACGAAAGCGUGGGGAUCGAACAGGAUUAGAUACCCUUGUAGUCC
Molecule: ribosomal RNA, 445 nt
Filed under: uncultured bacterium
Lineage: Bacteria
Description: partial 16S ribosomal RNA
Rfam family: Bacterial small subunit ribosomal RNA
Source: RNAcentral